This 492-nucleotide ribosomal RNA is filed under the name uncultured bacterium. RNAcentral describes it as "partial 16S ribosomal RNA". It matches the Rfam family "Bacterial small subunit ribosomal RNA", at positions 29 to 507 of the family's 1533-position model. The record is from RNAcentral.
AGUGAACGCUGGCGGCAUGCCUAAUACAUGCAAGUCGAACGGCAGCACAAUAAGAGCUUGCCCCUACGGUUAGCGGCUGGCGGACGGGUGACGAAUACAUCGGAAUCCAAUUUUUCUGGGGGGACUUCGUGGGGCAACAUAUGCUAACACCGCAUACGUUCUACCGCUGAAUGCAGGAGAGCAUCGCGCCUUUGCUGUCACUUAGAGACGAAGCCGCAUUAGCUAGUUGGGUGGGUAAAGGCCCACCAAGGCAACGAUACGUAGCUGAGCUGAGAGGAUGAUCGGCCACACUGGAACUGAGACACGGUCCAGACUCCUACGGGAGGCAGCAGUAGGGAAUCUUCGGCAAUGGGCGAAAGCCUGAUGCAGCCAUGCCGCGUGAGUGAAGAAGGCCUUCGGAUUGUAAAGCUCUGUUAUUAGGGAAGAAAAGCAGCAGAAUAAAACCCCGCUGUUCUGACGGUACCCAAAGAGAAAGCACCGGCUAACUACGUG